GCUUCAUCCUGGAAGAAUAAAAUUUUGGUGUCCAAGUGAGACGGGAGUACUGAUCCUUACCUCCAAGUAUCAUCAAAUUUGGGUGAAAAAAUAUUCUCUGGGUUUUCAGGAAAGUAGUAGUUCUGUGGAAUCUUGGCCAACGCUUUGAAAUGAAAGUGUUUUUCCUCAGUCUCUUCUUCAGGCUACUUCAAGAGGAACAAAGCAUAGCGACGUGACUCAAAACUAACAGUAUGUCAAGUUUCAAGGAUCUAGCACAAAUCGUGUUUGAUUUAGAGUUCCAACUGCAUCAAUCAGUGUAGGAGAAAAGAGAGUGAAACCUAAUAUUUUAAAGUGUUCCUGCAAAGGAAUGCUUCAAUGUAAUAGAACGAAUUUUGGGGGCCCAUUUGAGAAGAAACUACUGAUCAUUACCGCCAAGUAUCAUCAAGAUUGGUUGAGAAAACAUUUGUUGGGAUUUUAGAAAACUGGGAGUUCUCUGAAAUCUUGGCCAAUGCUAUCAAAUGAAAUUAUUUAUUCCCUGUAUUUCCUUCAUUCUACUUCAUGGGGGAACAAAACAGAGAGCACACUUAGAACUAAUUCAGUGUGUCAUGUUUCAAGCAGCUAGCAAAAACACUGUUUGAUUUUGAUUUCCAUCCGCAUUUAUCACUAGAGCAGAAAACAAAGUGAAACCUAAAAAUUCAAACUGUUACUGUAAACGAACGCUUCAACCUAGAAGAACGAAAUUUUGGAGACCAAGUGGGAUAGGUGUACUGAUCAUUACCACUAAGUAUCAUCAAGAUUAUGUGAAAAUAUAUUUGCUGAGAUUUCAGGAAACUCAUAGUUUUGUGGAAGCUUGGGAGACGCUUCAAAUGAACGUGUUUUUCCCCAUUCUCUGCUUAGGGCUUCUUCAUGAGGGAACAAAUCAUCAGAUAGCACUGAGAACUAAUUUAGUGUGUCAUGUUUCAAGCAGCUAGCAAAAAUACUGUUUGAUUUAGAUUUCCAACUGCUUCUCUCCCUAAAGGAGAAAACAAAGUGAAACCUAAAAAUUCAACCUGCUACUGCAAACGAACACUUCAACCUAGAAGAACGAAAUUUAGGGGGCCAUGUGCGACUGGAGUACUGAUCAUUACUGCCAAGUAUCAUCAAGAUUGGGUGAAAAAAUGUUUUCUGGGAUUGCAGGAAACUUGAUAUUCUGGGGAAGUGUGGCAAAUGCUUUCAAAUGAAAUGGAUUUUUCCUUGCCUCUUCUUGGGGAUACUUCAAAAGGGAACCAAGCAUAGAGAGGCUCUGAGAACUAAUUCAGUGUGUCAAAUUUCAAGGAACUAGCAGAAACCGUGUUUCAUGUAGAUUAACAAUGGGGUGUGUAACUAUAGGGGAAAACGAAGUGAAACUUGAAAAUGCAAAGUGUUCAUGCAAACGAAUGCUUUAACCUAGAAGUACGAAAUUUGUGGAGACAAAUGUGGCUGGAGUACAGAUGAUUCCCGGAAUGUAUCAACAAGAUCCAGUGGAAAAAAAAAUUUGCUGGGAUAUCAGGAAAGUCGGAGUUCUUUUCAAGCUUGGCAAGCCAUUUUAAAUGAAAUUG
Molecule: long non-coding RNA, 1556 nt
Filed under: Marmota monax (woodchuck)
Lineage: Eukaryota; Metazoa; Chordata; Mammalia; Rodentia; Sciuridae
Source: RNAcentral